Molecule: unclassified non-coding RNA, 636 nt
Filed under: Hevea brasiliensis (rubber tree)
Lineage: Eukaryota; Viridiplantae; Streptophyta; Magnoliopsida; Malpighiales; Euphorbiaceae
Source: RNAcentral
GACCAUGAAAAUCCAUAGCAGAUAGUUUUGUGUGAUUAUAAGGUUUAUAGCGGGGAACAUCCAUUCUGUAAAGAGAGCCGUAGACCAAAUUAUCAGCAUCUCCAUGAGAAUCAAAGUAAUAAUCUUUAGCAGGUUUAGUAUGGGAAUCGGCCCAAGCCCUAACAUUCGACUUUCUGAAACCGACAUGAACAUCAGCAUCCUCACCUCUGGAUCUCUUCCUCCUAUUUUUCUUUUUCUUGUAGGGUUUUUCCUUUCUCUUCUUCGUCUUUCUCUCACUACCACUAUCAACAUCAGAAUCGGAAUGAGAAUAUACUUCAUCUUCUUCUUCAAGUAACUCAUAAGAAGCGGAUGAUGGUGGCGGCUUUAGUUGGGGCCUUUGUGGACUUGAAUCAUCUUCUUCUUGGUCUGAUUCUGUUCGGGUGUGGUCCUUUUGGAGAGAGGAAACCGUAUCGUUAAUGACAGAGAGGUUGGUGAUGAAGCUGGCGUUGCAAAGCCACUCGGGGGGAGAAACGGUGGUAGUGGUGGCGGCGGUGGUCGAGGAAAUUUGCUGAGUGCCGGUGGAGGCCGCAAACAAAGGGAACAGAGAGGUGUUUUCAUUCGUCGCUGCUGCUUCUUUCUCCAUUGCAACCCGCAAAU